GACGUUCGCAAUGACUGGGAAACAACUAUAGAAAACUUUCAUGUCGUGGAAACAUUAGCUGAUAAUGCAAUCAUCAUUUAUCAAACACACAAGAGGGUGUGGCCUGCUUCUCAGCGAGACGUACUAUAUCUUUCUGUCAUUCGAAAGAUACCAGCCUUGACUGAAAAUGACCCUGAAACUUGGAUAGUUUGUAAUUUUUCUGUGGAUCAUGACAGUGCUCCUCUAAACAACCGAUGUGUCCGUGCCAAAAUAAAUGUUGCUAUGAUUUGUCAAACCUUGUGACUGAAGCAAGGCUGUGUGACAUUCCAUGUUGGAGAAAAAAAGAAAAAAAAAGCUGAAUGCUCUAAGCUGGAACGUAGGAUCUAUAGCCUUGUCUGUGGCCCAAGACCUUGGCCUUGUGUACAAAAAUGACAAAAUAUUGCAAUAGCAAAGCUGAACAUCUAACACUAGCUAUCUCUUGCUAGAUCUCCUUGCUCAGCAUAUAACUAUAAAUACAUGUAAAAUUAC
Molecule: small RNA, 507 nt
Filed under: Pongo abelii (Sumatran orangutan)
Lineage: Eukaryota; Metazoa; Chordata; Mammalia; Primates; Hominidae
Description: processed transcript
Source: RNAcentral